GAGCGCCGUAGCAAUACGGAGAGGCAGACGGGAGAGUAACACGUGGGAACGUACCCUUCGGUUCGGAACAACCCAGGGAAACUUGGGCUAAUACCGGAUACGUCCGUAAGGAGAAAGAUUCAUCGCCGGAGGAUCGGCCCGCGUCUGAUUAGCUAGUUGGUGAGGUAACGGCCCACCAAGGCGACGAUCAGUAGCUGGUCUGAGAGGAUGAUCAGCCUCACUGGGACUGAGACACGGCCCAUACUCCUACGGGAGGCAGCAGUGGGGAAUAUUGGACAAUGGGCGCAAGCCUGAUCCAGCCAUGCCGCGUGGGUGAUGAAGGCCCUAGGGUUGUAAAGCCCUUUCGGCGGGGAAGAUAAUGACGGUACCCGCAGAAGAAGCCCCGGCUAACUUCGUGCCAGCAGCCGCGGUAAU
This 414-nucleotide ribosomal RNA is filed under the name uncultured bacterium. Its description in RNAcentral is "bacterial SSU rRNA". It matches the Rfam family "Bacterial small subunit ribosomal RNA", at positions 64 to 524 of the family's 1533-position model. The record is from RNAcentral.